GCGACCCCAGGAUGGGCGGGAUGACCCGCUGAGUUUAAGCAUAUCAAUAAGCGGAGGA
Molecule: ribosomal RNA, 58 nt
Filed under: Sacoila hassleri
Lineage: Eukaryota; Viridiplantae; Streptophyta; Magnoliopsida; Asparagales; Orchidaceae
Description: partial 26S ribosomal RNA
Source: RNAcentral